UCAGGAGAGCCCCAGGGAUGGACAGACGGUGUGUCUGCAGGACUGGUGUUUAGUCAAGGGGUGGUACUUGGCUCGGCUGGCAGAGCUAUCUACCCCAGGAGACCAGGAGCAGGUGGUGGAGGUUGUUCGCAUGCUGACGGUGGACAAAGGCAUUGCGACAUCGCUCAGGAAGCCUUUGAGGAAAGAGGAACCCCAAGGCACCAAGAAACACAACCCCCCUCCCUCCCAUCUGAGCAGCUUCUCCUUUCUCAUGGGAAGUGCUGGGACCAGGGGAGGCUGCCUGAGCUGAACCUCCUGCCGUGUGGAUUUGCUGCUAGCUGUGGGCUCUGCACAAACCCAUGCUCCAGCUGGCAUGGGAAUUUGGAAUGUAUUUUCUUGAUGCUCAUGUGGAAAUUGGUUAUGCCCAUUUUUUAAAAUGCCACUUUUCUUUUCAAAACCCACAUUCUCCACGUGUUUGGGUUGCAGAGCUGAACCUCAGCCUCCUGAGCACACUGGACACCUGCCUUCCAGAGGAAGCAACACAUGGCUUCUUCAGCAAGAUUUUGGGGAGUUCAACCUGUCCCAUCCUGUCCACAAAGAGCAUGGAAAGAAGUUUGCUGUUGCUGCUGUUGGCCUCCAUCUUAAGGACAUCUUUGCCAGAGGGGCUGUAUUGA
Molecule: long non-coding RNA, 653 nt
Filed under: Anser brachyrhynchus (Pink-footed goose)
Lineage: Eukaryota; Metazoa; Chordata; Aves; Anseriformes; Anatidae
Description: lncRNA (ENSABRG00000001399.1)
Source: RNAcentral